Streptomyces sp. C is the source of this 104-nucleotide non-coding RNA. The record is from Rfam. NCBI's taxonomy places the organism in Bacteria, Bacillati, Actinomycetota, Actinomycetes, Kitasatosporales, Streptomycetaceae.
UGAAUCCGCGCGGGAGAGUCCCGGCAGGCCGUGAGGCCGUGCCCGGGCGCCGAAGGAGCAAGUACCUCCCUUGAAUCUCUCAGGCCCCGUACCGCGUGGAUGAG